GACGAACGCUGGCGGCGUGCCUAAUACAUGCAAGUCGAACGCUUCCUACCGGUGCUUGCACCGGGAAAGAAGAGUGGCGGACGGGUGAGUAACACGUGGGUAACCUACCUACAAGCGGGGGAUAACAUUCGGAAACGGAUGCUAAUACCGCAUAGAUCUUUUUGUCUCCUGGCAGAAAGAAGAAAGACGGUUUCGGCUGUCACUUGAAGAUGGACCCGCGGCGCAUUAGUUAGUUGGUGAGGUAAUGGCUCACCAAGACGAUGAUGCGUAGCCGACCUGAGAGGGUGAUCGGCCACACUGGGACUGAGACACGGCCCAGACUCCUACGGGAGGCAGCAGUAGGGAAUCUUCCGCAAUGGACGAAAGUCUGACGGAGCAACGCCGCGUGAGUGAAGAAGGUUUUCGGAUCGUAAAACUCUGUUGUUAGAGAAGAACAAGGAUGAGAGUAACUGCUCGUCCCUUGACGGUAUCUAACCAGAAAGCCCUGGCUAACUACGUGCCAGCCGCCGCGGUAA
RNAcentral lists this ribosomal RNA (515 nucleotides) under uncultured bacterium. Its description in RNAcentral is "partial 16S ribosomal RNA". It matches the Rfam family "Bacterial small subunit ribosomal RNA", at positions 28 to 523 of the family's 1533-position model. The record is from RNAcentral.